Molecule: ribosomal RNA, 802 nt
Filed under: uncultured Alphaproteobacteria bacterium
Lineage: Bacteria; Pseudomonadati; Pseudomonadota; Alphaproteobacteria
Description: bacterial SSU rRNA
Rfam family: Bacterial small subunit ribosomal RNA
Source: RNAcentral
GUAGAGCGCAUGUAGGCGGAACAAAAAGUUAGAAGUGAAAUCCCUGGGCUCAACCUAGGAAUUGCUUUUAAAACUUUUGUUCUGGAAUUCAGGAGAGGAAAAUGGAAUUUCCAGUGUAGAGGUGAAAUUCGUAGAUAUUGGAAGGAACACCAGUGGCGAAGGCGAUUUUCUGGACUGAUAUUGACGCUGAGAUGCGAAGGCAUGGGUAGCAAACGGGAUUAGAUACCCCGGUAGUCCAUGCAGUAAACGAUGGGUGCUAGUCGUCGGACUUUUGUUCGGUGUCGUAGCUAACGCGUUAAGCACCCCGCCUGGGGAGUACGGUCGCAAGAUUAAAACUCAAAUAAAUUGACGGGGACCCGCACAAGCAGUGGAGCAUGUGGUUUAAUUCGACGCAACGCGAAGAACCUUACCAGCGUUUGACAUGGGAAGUGCCGGUUACAGAAUGGUAACCCUCAGUUCGGCUGGCUUCCGCACAGGUGCUGCAUGGCUGUCGUCAGCUCGUGUCGUGAGAUGUUGGGUUAAGUCCCGCAACGAGCGCAACCCUUAUCGUUAGUUACUAACAGUUCGGCUGAGGACUCUAGCGAAACUGCCGGUGAUAAGCCGGAGGAAGGUGGGGAUGACGUCAAGUCCUCAUGGCCCUUACACGCUGGGCUACACACGUGCUACAAUGGUAACUACAACGGGGCGCAAUACCGCGAGGUGGAGCAAAUCCCCAAAAGUUAUCUCAGUUCGGAUUGCACUCUGCAACUCGAGUGCAUGAAGUUGGAAUUGCUAGUAAUCGCGGAUCAGCAUGCCGCGGUGA